RNAcentral lists this ribosomal RNA (443 nucleotides) under uncultured bacterium. RNAcentral's name for it is "partial 16S ribosomal RNA". It matches the Rfam family "Bacterial small subunit ribosomal RNA", at positions 338 to 795 of the family's 1533-position model. The record is from RNAcentral.
CCUACGGGAGGCAGCAGUGGGGAAUAUUGGGCAAUGGGCGCAAGCCUGACCCAGCAACGCCGCGUGAAGGAAGAAGGCUUUCGGGUUGUAAACUUCUUUUAUCAGGGACGAAGCAAGUGACGGUACCUGAUGAAUAAGCCACGGCUAACUACGUGCCAGCAGCCGCGGUAAUACGUAGGUGGCAAGCGUUAUCCGGAUUUACUGGGUGUAAGGGGCGUGUAGGCGGGUGUGCAAGUCAGAUGUGAAAACUAUGGGCUCAACCCAGAGCCUGCAUUUUAAACUGUACUUCUUGAGUGCUGGAGAGGAAAGCGGAAUUCCGGGUGUAGCGGUGAAAUGCGUAGAGAUACGGAGGAACACCAGUGGCGAAGGCGGAUUGCUGGACAGUAACUGACGCUGAGGCGCGAAAGCGUGGGGAGCAAACAGGAUUAGAUACCCUUGUAGUC